GUGAGCAAAAUCUAGCUUUGAGUCGGUAAAUAACAAGAGGAGAAAGAAAGAGUUGACGCCAUGUGUCAGCGAAUCAGGAGAGAGCACGAGAGGAGCCUGUUACGCUUAAUGUCUUUCGGUAAAUCCGUGAGUCGGUAAACCACCGGCGGAGGAUAAAAGAAAGUGAAACCAAAAGAGAGGGCGGCAUCGUGAGCGGAGAGAGGUGCAAACGAAGAGAAGAGGAAACAGAGAGAAGUGAGUAAUUGAGUCGCACAGACAUGUGAGUCGUACGAUGACAUGUCACCGUGUAAUGAGUGGGUGAAUGUAACGGAACACGAGGCCUUGAGUUCUUCAGUCUCCAUACAACCACUGACGGGAUGCUCCAUCACCAGGGUACCACCGGAGUACCACCAGUGUACCAUCAGGGUACCAUCAGUGUACCAUCAGGGUACCAUCAGUGCACCGUCACUACGGACAGAAAAGGGAGACGAAGAUCACCAUGGUGUCGGUUUCUCGAUCUUGUUUAAUGCAGCUUUUGUCACCUUGUCACCUGUUUCUUUUAAUUACAUUAGCUUCUCUCUGUCACUUCUCCUUCACACGCUCAUGUGCUGCACUGCAUUCCCCACCCCAGCCCAACCCAGCCCCGCAUCUCUCUCUCUCUCUCUCUCUCUCUCUCUCUCUCUCGCUGUCGUUUUUAUUACUACCUUUGAUGCAAGGAAGUUCUCGUAUGCAAAGAGACCAAGCGAGCAGAUUAGACGAGGGUGAAGAAGCGGUAUUUCACAUCUGCACACUUCCUUCAGGUUCAUACUGUCUUCGUAUUGCCUCUUCUUCCUUGACAUUUCUUCUCUGUCAUUCCCCAAAAUUCGGCAUCAAGUUUUAAUGAUGAAGGUGGCUGUGACGAUUAUUGCUUUAUUUCUGAGUGACGUUGUUGCACUGGUGUCUAGUACAACGCCUCAAUCUCCCACUGCCUGCCCCACAACAACACCAUGCCCCUCGUGCCCUCCGGCUGUUACGUGCCCCCCAGCUUUGACCCCUGCCCCCGCUCUGCCAGUUCUGCGUACCAUCCACGUGACCCCUGAGCCAACUCCGUGCUUGGGCAGGGUCAACCUGGCAUCAAACGCAACCUUUUGGCUCCCACUCUGCCAGAGCAGCCAGGGCCACAUCUCUUCAAAAAGGUUGUGUGACCAGUUGGGUUGCGGACGCUUCAAGUCUUGGAAGAAGUCAAAGGGCGCUAACGAGGGGUAUGAAGUCCAGGCCGAUGGAUAUUUGAACAACGUGACGUGUAACGCGUUGAUGAUCCAGUGCAUAGCGCGCCCUGCCACUGCGGAGCUGGUGGCCUACAAGACCGUGACUUGGCUGUUGAGCACUGUGUUUGUAAUCCUGAUUCUAAUUCGCUUUGGACCUGGGAGGUGUGCCUCCAUUAACAAGAAAAUAUUUGAGAGACGAAACAGGGAGUGGAUCGGACCCACGCAAAGUCAGAGUGUGUCCUUUUACAGGGCACAGGCCGCUCAUCCGAACAGCAGCGCCAGCAAGAGGUCGUCGUACCCUGCACUGGAGAGACUGUCCGUCCAUCCCAGCAGAGAACCGUCCUCAAACCGGAACAGCUGUGAUUCAUACAACUGAACAGUCCACCUGGAUCAUCCUCACCAUGAAACUCUAUCGUUUUCACCAAUGUACCUAACAACACAUGCAUUCGUAAGUCUUUAUUCCGUAUGCGUGCAAUUUAAAAUGACGUAUUUUUUAAAGAAAGGCAUGUGUUAUUUACUGCGUACCGCUGGUGAAAAGUGCCAAAUCCCACUGUUCUCAAAUGAACCACUGAAUCAUAAGAAAAAAAAAAAAACUGCAAAAUGCCCUCCCCGAUAAAACAUAUAGAUACGCAUCACUUAUUGCAACCGUUGGCCGUGGUUAAUGACUUAAGAAUCAUUGCGCAGAAUCUGAGAACUUUUACAAUAUAAUUGCCUGUCCCACGUGAACUUUUAAAAUGUUUCUGACGCCACCACUUACCCAUCAAGAUGUGCUGAGGUUGACUUUUUUGAAAAGGAGGAAUUCAUAGUAAUUUAGUGAAAAAGGGAAACCUUGUCUUGACUGCUCUCGAUUUAGCAGGGAUAUUGCAAGACAUAUCUUAAAGCCUACUUUAAUGACAAAUACCAUUUAAGGUGUCAGCAGAGAACUAUGAAUGAAUAAACACUGAAUUUGGUUCA
This 2180-nucleotide long non-coding RNA is filed under the name Scleropages formosus (Asian bonytongue). RNAcentral's name for it is "lncRNA (ENSSFOG00015027393.1)". Lineage: Eukaryota; Metazoa; Chordata; Actinopteri; Osteoglossiformes; Osteoglossidae. The record is from RNAcentral.